RNAcentral lists this ribosomal RNA (253 nucleotides) under uncultured bacterium. RNAcentral describes it as "partial 16S ribosomal RNA". It matches the Rfam family "Bacterial small subunit ribosomal RNA", at positions 524 to 776 of the family's 1533-position model. The record is from RNAcentral.
GACAGAGGGUGCAAACGUUGUUCGGAAUUACUGGGCAUAAAGCGCACGUAGGUGGUCCACUAAGUCGAGUGUGAAAUCCCCCGGCUCAACCGGGGAAUGGCGCUCGAUACUGGUGGGCUAGAGGUCGGUAGGGGUGAGCGGAACUCCAGGUGGAGCGGUGAAAUGCGUAGAUAUCUGGAGGAACACCGGUGGCGAAAGCGGCUCACUGGACCGAAUCUGACACUGAGGUGCGAAAGCUAGGGUAGCAAACGGG